CUAGGAUGCCUUGAGGGUGAGUAAUUUAUGGGGUAAUGUUCAUUUUUGGGUGAAUAUGCCUUUAAUGUCAGAGUGGGUUUAUUGUGACUCCUUCUGACAUUCACAGGUGCCGCUGUCUGCUCAGUUAAUUCCUUACUGUUUACACAAAGAUAUGAUUUUUAUUAUUAUAAUGAACAUUAUUAUUAUUAUUAUAAUUACACAAAAAUAAUAUUUUAAUUCACUUGCAGCAUUUCAGUGCAUUGUGGUUGAACACACAGCUUUAUUUGAAUGUGAAUGUGCUUUUGUUAGCCCUUAGCAGCCGCUCCGAAUCUCCAGCUGUAUCUCAGAGAUCAGCCGCUGAUCGCACUCAGAGACACUCACUCUGAUUUCUCCCAUAAUGUGAUGAAAUAGAAGCCUGACGGCAAAGAUGUGCAUUUGUUUAGCAGUGAUGUUUUUUCUAGAUGCUGAGCAGAAGAACGGAAAGGGCCCAGAUUCGCCUCUGAAGGACAGGAGAGCAGAGACGGAUAUCGGAUUCAGCAGCCACUGCUCGCAUCCCAAAGGCCCCCGGGAGCCUCCGUCGGAGUGGACGUGACCGCGGCACCCAUCCGCUCCACACUCCACGCUCCUCUUUCUUCUAUAAGUGCCACUGUAGACGACGGCGCCUCUUCUCUGACUAACACAAUCAGUAAAGCUACAAAGAUAAUCUCCCAUGAUGCACCUCGCUGCCAUGGACUCGCUGUGCUGGUGCUAAGCGUGUCUCCGGGACCAGAACCUGCCUUACUCCUGCUGCGGGGCUGGACCCGUUCUUCUGCAAUAGUUUAGACUGAGAUCAGACGGCGCGGGCCGGAGUUCACAGGGCGAGCCGUAAAUGAUGAUGAUGAUGAUGCAAACGUACUAUCACUGAAUAUAUUAUUGCGAUGUAAGACGUCUGUGCAUGAAAGCGUCUGGUGUACCUCAAACUGUAAGUUAUUUGCCCUCCUGUUACAACAAAUGCUUUCAGGGCUGUUUUCUCUUUCUGGCCCUUUCUUUGCGUAUCGGCCGCUUCACGAGACGAUGCGGGCUGGAGAUUGUAUUGUUGAUGCUUUUUGUAAAUUGUAUUCUAGACAUUAUUUUUGUAUAUGCCAUUUUCUCACUUCACGAACGACUCCAGACAGCUCGCCCGUGCCUUUUUUUUUACUGUGUGUGUGUUUGAGACGCAGAGAGAGAAUGUGUGCAAGUUACAUAACGUCGCAUUUAAACCUCUGGGAUUGUACUUGACUUUCCAACACAGACCUGUCAAUCAAUCAGUCAAUGUCAGUAAAACAUUAGGAGGAAAAA
This is a long non-coding RNA of Sinocyclocheilus grahami, 1296 nucleotides long. RefSeq lists it as uncharacterized. The record is from RefSeq and is a predicted model, not a curated record. The transcript has 2 exons. Lineage: Eukaryota; Metazoa; Chordata; Actinopteri; Cypriniformes; Cyprinidae.